Molecule: long non-coding RNA, 212 nt
Organism: Austrofundulus limnaeus
Lineage: Eukaryota; Metazoa; Chordata; Actinopteri; Cyprinodontiformes; Rivulidae
Exons: 2
Source: RefSeq, a predicted model, not a curated record
CUCGUGCAGGCAGCGCGUACACGGAAACCUUGGCAACGGCGUCUGGCAGAGGAGGGCAGGAGCAGCCCCUGGUGUUGGACAUACAGAUGUUCUUAUCAAAGAUGCAUCCGUCUUCAGGGCAGAGAUGUAUUAACCCAGAGAAGACCCUCUGUGUAAAAUUGAUCUGCUGGGCCCCAUAAGCUUCUCUUCACAUGAGGCACUUUUAAUGAAAG